CGGGGUUAGUGUUGAGCGAAAGGGGUGAGUAACACGUGGGCAAUCUGCCCCUCGCUGGGGGACAACCGGGGGAAACCCCGGCUAAUACCCCGUACGCUCUCGGAGUCGCAUGGCUCCGCGAGGAAAGGUAGCUUCGGCCAUCCGGCGAGGGAUGAGCCCGCGGUCCAUUAUCUAGUUGGCGGGGUAAAGGCCCACCAAGGCGACGAUGGAUAGCUGGUCUGAGAGGAUGAUCACCCACACUGGGACUGAGACACGGCCCACACUCCUACGGGAGGCAGCAGUCGGUAUUCUUGCGCAAUGGGCGAAAGCCUGACGCACCAACACCGUGUGUGUGAGGAAGGCCUUCGGGUCGUAAAGCAUUGUUGUUGGGGACGAAGGGCGAGGGGUUAAUAGCCCCGAGCUUGACGGUCCUCUUCGAGGACGCUCCCGGCUAAUUACGUGCCAGCAGCCGCUGUAAUACGUAGGGGGCGAGCGUUGUCCGUAAUUAUUGGGCGUAAAGAGCGUGUAGCGGUUCGGUAAGUCUGCCGUGAAAACUCGGGGCUCAACCCCGGGCGUGCGGCGGAUACUGCCGGGCUAGAGGGUGGUAGAAGCGAGUGGAAUUUCCAAGUGUAGCGGUGAAAUGCGCAGAUAUGUCGGAGGAACAACAGUAGCGAAGGCGGCUCGCAUGGGCCACACUGACGCUGAGACGCCGAAAGAUAGGGGAGCGAACAGGGAUUAGAUACCCUGGUAGUCCUAGAUCCGUAAACGAUGGACACUAGGUGUGGGCGGAGUCGAAUCUGUCCGUGCCGAAGCCAACGCGAUAACUGUCCCGCCUGGGGAGUACGGCCGCAAGGCUAAAGCUCAAAAGAAUUGACGGGGGCCCGCACAAGCAGCGGAGCAUGUUCUUUAAUUCGAUGCAACGCGAAGAACCUUACCUGCCCUUGACAUGGCGCUGCAAGCGCACGGAAACGUGUGACCUUCGAGGGUGCGCCACAGAUGCUGCAUGGCUGUCGUCAGCUCGUGUCGUGAGAUGUUGGGUUAAGUCCCGCAACGAGCGCAACCCCUGUGAUGUGUUGCCAGCAUUAAGUUGGGGACUCACAUCAGACUGCCGGUGACAAACCGGAGGAAGGUGGGGAUGACGUCAAGUCAUCAUGGCUCUUACGCCCAGGGCUAGAAACGUGCUACAAUGGCUCGUACAAAGGGUUGCGAAGUCGCGAGACGGAGCGAAUCCCACCAAAGCGAGUCUAAGUUCGGAUCGCAGUCUGCAACCCGACUGCGUGAAGGCGGAGUUGCUAGUAAUCGCGUUCGGGUGCCGCGGUGAAUACGUUCCCGGGCCUUGCACACACCGCCCGUCAC
Molecule: ribosomal RNA, 1335 nt
Filed under: uncultured bacterium
Lineage: Bacteria
Description: bacterial SSU rRNA
Rfam family: Bacterial small subunit ribosomal RNA
Source: RNAcentral